AAAAAUUACUCUCUAUUUAGUGAAAAUCCAUCACACCUAAUUUCCCUAAUUUUCUACCCAUAAUCUUGCACACGAACGAUUCAUACGGUAACAAGAGGCAUUCAUGUCUUGAUUGAGAGAAGAUCCAACAAUAGUUCUGUUUUGUAGUAUAUGAAAGAUGACCUUAGUUGACAUAAUCUUCAAUUAUGGUGUAGAAUGGAUUAAAACACAAAAUGUCAUGUAUUUAAACCUUACAGCAACCCAAUCAACCCAAGAAAGACAUGUUGUUAACUUCAUGUCUACACCAACAUUAAGGCAGCAUGCACCACAAUUUUCAGGUCCAAGACCAAGUAUUCCAAGUCAUACGCCAAAUUUUGAGUUAUCUGAUACUUCAAAACAAAUAUCAAGCAAGGGAGAUGCUACUACAUUACAACGUAAUGUUCAUCCAGAUUUGACAAUCAACCUUCCAAAUCAUGAUCGAGAUCCUACUAUAAGGCCUAUGGUAGUGUCAGAAAGCACAAUAUUUCGAGCUAGGCAACAGGAACCAAUUCCUUCAGGAACUAGGAUUAUUAACUUUGUUGGUGAUCAAAAUGGAGUAAGUGUUCCUUCAAAUCUUCCCUACUUACUAACCAACCUCACAUGGAAGGGAAAAGCUGCUAUAACUCAUGGUCAAUUGGAGAUGCAAAAUAGGCAAAAAAAUAAAGAAAUUGAAGCCAAGAAAAGGGCAACAGUGAUCUAUUGGGUUGAAAAAUCUUUUUGUUAUGUUUCAUGAGGUUUUAAUUACUGUUUAUGACAAUAUUUUUUAGUUAAUGUCUUUUCAGUUUUGCUCUUUUUUGUGGUGAACAUUGAACAUGAAACUCACAUUAUGACACUUUAUAUUAGUUAUGAUGUAAUUGUCAUGAUGUUGCUGAAAACAGUGGUUAAUUGUAAAAUGUUGACGUGCUGAAAUGAUGUUAAAUCUGCAACUAUAUUUCGUGUGUUUG
This is a long non-coding RNA of Solanum pennellii, 962 nucleotides long. RefSeq lists it as uncharacterized. The record is from RefSeq and is a predicted model, not a curated record. The transcript has 2 exons. NCBI's taxonomy places the organism in Eukaryota, Viridiplantae, Streptophyta, Magnoliopsida, Solanales, Solanaceae.